UGGAUGAUGUGGAUUAAUUCGAUGCAACGCGAAGAACCUUACCUACCCUUGACAUGUCCGGAACUUGCCAGAGAUGGCUUGGUGCCCGAAAGGGAAUCGGAACACAGGUGCUGCAUGGCUGUCGUCAGCUCGUGUCGUGAGAUGUUGGGUUAAGUCCCGCAACGAGCGCAACCCUUAUCAUUAGUUGCUACGCAAGGGCACUCUAAUGAGACUGCCGGUGACAAACCGGAGGAAGUGGGGAUGACGUCAAGUCCUCAUGGCCCUUAUGGGUAGGGCUUCACACGUCAUACAAUGGUCGGUACAGAGGGUUGCCAACCCGCGAGGGGGAGCUAAUCCCACAAAGCCGAUCGUAGUCCGGAUCGCAGUCUGCAACUCGACUGCGUGAAGUCGGAAUCGCUAGUAAUCGUGGAUCAGCAUGUCACGGUGAAUACGUUCCCGGGUCUU
This 444-nucleotide ribosomal RNA is filed under the name uncultured Thiobacillus sp. Its description in RNAcentral is "bacterial SSU rRNA". It matches the Rfam family "Bacterial small subunit ribosomal RNA", at positions 933 to 1382 of the family's 1533-position model. Lineage: Bacteria; Pseudomonadati; Pseudomonadota; Betaproteobacteria; Nitrosomonadales; Thiobacillaceae. The record is from RNAcentral.